UACGUAGGGUGCGAGCGUUGUCCGGAAUUAUUGGGCGUAAAGAGCUUGUAGGCGGUCCGUUGCGUCGGAAGUGAAAACUCGGGGCUUAACCCCGAGCCUGCUUUCGAUACGGGCGGACUUGAGGGAUGUAGGGGAGAACGGAAUUCCUGGUGGAGCGGUGGAAUGCGCAGAUAUCAGGAGGAACACCAGUGGCGAAGGCGGUUCUCUGGACAUUUCCUGACGCUGAGAAGCGAAAGCGUGGGGAGCAAACAGG
This 253-nucleotide ribosomal RNA is filed under the name uncultured bacterium. RNAcentral's name for it is "partial 16S ribosomal RNA". It matches the Rfam family "Bacterial small subunit ribosomal RNA", at positions 524 to 776 of the family's 1533-position model. The record is from RNAcentral.